Molecule: unclassified non-coding RNA, 339 nt
Filed under: Basidiomycota sp.
Lineage: Eukaryota; Fungi; Basidiomycota
Description: partial contains small subunit ribosomal RNA and internal transcribed spacer 1
Rfam family: Eukaryotic small subunit ribosomal RNA (bases 1-47)
Source: RNAcentral
AAAGUCGUAACAAGGUUUCCGUAGGUGAACCUGCGGAAGGAUCAUUAUUGAAUUCACUUGUCGAGUUGCUGCUGGUUCCGCAAGGUUCAUGUGCACGCUUGGCUCUUGAUAUUUUCCACCUGUGCACUUUUGUAGGCAGUCUUUUGUCUUGGUCGUCGUCUGUAGUCACAUUCAGUUGUGGAUUGGGGUUUGAGCGCAAGCUUCUCUCCCUGGGACGUUCAGCUGAGGCAUCGGGCUGUUCUACGUUUUUUACACACUUUUGUAUGUCUAGAAAGUCAUUUACUGGUCGGAAGGCCUUUAAACUUAACACAAUUAUUGACAACGGAUCUCUUGGCUCAC